ACUGGCUCCCUCCACAGGGACGGCACCCGAUACUGAUGCCCUCCCGCUUCGAGCUGCGGAAGGACUGGGUGAAAUGUGGAACAGCAACACUAAACUCACAUCGCCAUGAUUCCAUUUGGAAGCAGUUAUGAAUUCCUGAAAUCCAUCCUCAAUUAAGAUCCAAGGUGUAGGAUGAGCUUCGAUGCAAGCCUUGAAGACUGGAUACAUGCAUUGAGUAAAAUACAAGAAGAAAGUGUAAAAACCUAGAUGGAUAAAAUAUAGUUUCACAUAAAAUUGCUAUAGACCUUUGUUUCACAGUUAAAAUAAUAAUGGUGGUGUUUGACACAAACAUUGUGACAAUAGUAAUAACAUAAAUCAGUAAAAUGCAGGCUCAAGGCAAACUGUAAGGGCGGCUGCUGGCAAGCUGGUGGGAGCAGCAGACGACCGGUGCAACAGCUGCUCCUGCACAGAAACAUUUCCUAUUUCUGCCCAAGGAGGAUCGUAUGACUCUCACUUUAUCACCCUUAGAGGCCAUCUGAAGGACAAAGCAGAUACAACCCGUAAACACAACUAAUGUUUUUAUAUAGUGGGCAGAAGGGAAAACAACUUCGCAAAGGCAUCCCCUGUGAACGUGACAAGGGGACGACAAGCAGAGACUGGAAACGAUUGUCCUGUCAGUGGCAUUGAGGGCAGCAGUAACCCUACUCCACCCGUCCAGAAUCACAAGGAGAGUUCCCUCUGCCGGGCCGUGGCUGGCAUCGUCUCUGUCACUGCAGUCGCGGGUUUUGUCAUUCACUCACAAUCCCACGUAUGCCGUUUUCCGAAGCAGCUCAGGACACUGAAUCCCGCUCUGCCUGUGAUCUUUCGUAAUAAAACCCAGUUAACAGAACAACUGGAGGUCAGAGCAGUGCACAGCCUCCUCCGACCCGACCCUGGUUGGAAUGGGUUAUUUUAUUUGAGUGCGUUUGACAUUAAAAAGUCUAGCGGUCUUAUUAUUUCUUUCAUUUGACACUUGUUUUUUUUUCUGUAUCUGUUACACUGUAACCCCAAAGUCAUUCUAAAAAAAAUUAAAUCAAGUUAAAUUCAAUUAAAAAUUCAAAUUUUUCAUAACACUGUAGCCAUUUUAAGUUAGUUGAACAUUCAAAUUUACUUUAGUUGUUCAAACGGAAAUGGUUUAGGUAGAAUUAGGGGACUCGAUUCCCAUCAGCCCUUGCAGGACUUGUACAAUUUAUUUUUGGACUUGUUUGUUAAUUGUGCUGUUGUUUUGUGUAUGUGCGGUUGCACACGUGUGUUGUGUUUGCUUGUCUCUUGUGCCCCCGCCUGCUCCCUUACAUGUGUUCUCCUUGUGUUGUGUGUGCCCCCCACCCCGUUCGGUGGUCAGUCUGCGGAUGCGAUCUCCCUCCCUUCUCCUUCUGUAUACAUUUCUGCAUCUGCACUGGCAGCCAAUAAAAUAGAUUGUUGAUUGCACAUUCUGUUGUUUAAAUGAAAUAAAAAAUGUUCAAUCUAACUUGACUAUUAAAAAGUAA
Long non-coding RNA from Acipenser ruthenus (sterlet), 1505 nucleotides. RefSeq lists it as uncharacterized. The transcript is spliced from 3 exons. The record is from RefSeq and is a predicted model, not a curated record. NCBI's taxonomy places the organism in Eukaryota, Metazoa, Chordata, Actinopteri, Acipenseriformes, Acipenseridae.